GAUGAACGCUGGCGGCGUGCUUAACACAUGCAAGUCGAACGAACCUUCGGGUUAGUGGCGGACGGGUGAGUAACGCGUGAGAAUCUGCCCUCAGGAGGGGGAUAACGGGCUGGAAACGGCCGCUAAUACCCCAUAUGCCGAGAGGUGAAAUGAAUUUCGCCUGAGGAUGAGCUCGCGUCUGAUUAGCUUGUUGGUGGGGUAAUGGCCUACCAAGGCGACGAUCAGUAGCUGGUCUGAGAGGAUGAUCAGCCACACUGGGACUGAGACACGGCCCAGACUCCUACGGGAGGCAGCAGUGGGGAAUUUUCCGCAAUGGGCGAAAGCCUGACGGAGCAACGCCGCGUGAGGGAUGAAGGCCUCUGGGCUGUAAACCUCUUUUAUCAAGGAAGAAGAUCUGACGGUACUUGAUGAAUAAGCCACGGCUAAUUCCGUG
This 433-nucleotide ribosomal RNA is filed under the name uncultured bacterium. RNAcentral describes it as "bacterial SSU rRNA". It matches the Rfam family "Bacterial small subunit ribosomal RNA", at positions 28 to 507 of the family's 1533-position model. The record is from RNAcentral.